RNAcentral lists this ribosomal RNA (369 nucleotides) under uncultured bacterium. RNAcentral describes it as "bacterial SSU rRNA". It matches the Rfam family "Bacterial small subunit ribosomal RNA", at positions 28 to 389 of the family's 1533-position model. The record is from RNAcentral.
GACGAACGCUGGCGGCGUGCCUAACACAUGCAAGUCGAGCGGGAUCCAACCGGUGGCAACACCGGGGAAGAUCUAGCGGCGAACGGGUGAGUAACACGUGAGCAACCUGCCCCGAAGACUGGGAUAACACCGGGAAACCGGUGCUAAUACCGGAUGUCGUCAUUAGGCCGCAUGACCUGAUGAUGAAAGGAUUCAUCGCUUCGGGAGGGGCUCGCGGGCUAGCAGCUUGNGGUGGGGUAACGGCCUACCAAGGCGACGACGGCUAGCUGGUCUGAGAGGACGACCAGCCACACUGGGACUGAGACACGGCCCAGACUCCUACGGGAGGCAGCAGUGGGGAAUCUUGCGCAAUGGGCGAAAGCCUGACGC